Long non-coding RNA from Myotis brandtii (Brandt's bat), 1033 nucleotides. RefSeq lists it as uncharacterized. The record is from RefSeq and is a predicted model, not a curated record. Lineage: Eukaryota; Metazoa; Chordata; Mammalia; Chiroptera; Vespertilionidae. The transcript has 2 exons.
CAUCGAUGGGCACCUUGUCAGUGUUCCCCACCCUCCCCCUUGCCUCAGCCCCUUGGAUGUCACUCUCCAUCCUCCUGUUUCUUCGCCCUCAGGGAGCAGAUGUUCAUGCACAUGCUCGCUUCCUCAGCCAGCGAGAGGUCGUGUGUGCAUGUGUGCGUCUCAGUGCGUGUUUGUGUGUGUUCAUGGUGUGUUCACGUGUGUGAGGCAGCGAGCAAGCUGGGCCCUGUGGACUUGAGUGCUGCAGGCCCCCAGGCCGGGGCCACCCUGCUUCUCUGCUCUUCGUGACUCUCAGUGCUGGACAGAAAGACCACGCCGCCUGGACACUGCCAGCUGGAGGCCUUGGGCCUUGUCCCCACGGUCCAGUCUGCGGCCGUGAGGUGAUAGGCCUGUGCAGCUGGGACCUACCUGGGCAAAGGCCCAGCCGAAAGACCAAAGGCAAGGGCUUGGGGCAGCAGACUGGAGCAGGCUGUCAGGAAGCCGGCUGUUCUCCAGAUUCCUGUGUGUGCCCUGGCCCGCAACCCCACUCGGGAGGCCAUGGACUCUGCGAGGAAGUCUUGGCCAGAGGAGAGCUGAGAACCACUGUGGGCCUGAACCCGAGUUCUGUCACACAUGCCACCCAAGCCCUCUGGAGCUGGAGUCCAGAUGAACAGCUGUUGCCACUGGGACCGAGGCUGGGAAGGCGGGUCUUCUCAGCAUGGGCCUGUGGGUGGGCCAGGGGCGAUGUUCUGGGCGGCUCUGGUUCCGGGCCAUGCCGCUGGGCUUUGGGCUGAGCUGCCGAGCCUGCAGCAGGGAUGCUGUUCCCCUCCGAGGAAGUUUUUUAAAGGUGAUUCCCAAGUCCCCACCCAUCUCUGAUGAGGUGAUUCAGAUGCUUUAGUAGGGAGUUGGUGGGUGCUGCGCCUUGGUUUUAGCUCCUUUCAAGGGGGUGGGGCCUCGAAUCGCAGGUCCAGUCCUGGUGGGGAGUCCUGUGGGGGGAGCAGGAUCUGAAUGUGGGAAGUCUGAGUAGGAGAAAUAAAGGAAUUGUACCCAGACAACC